RNAcentral lists this long non-coding RNA (2182 nucleotides) under Piliocolobus tephrosceles (Ugandan red Colobus). RNAcentral describes it as "lncRNA (ENSPTEG00000022942.1)". Lineage: Eukaryota; Metazoa; Chordata; Mammalia; Primates; Cercopithecidae. The record is from RNAcentral.
UAAUAAUAAUAAUAAUAAUAAUAAUAUAAGAUGUAACAUAUUCAUCAAGCUGACCCAACAAAUCAGGAACAUGACUUAUUAUUAUUUUAUUUUAUUUUUUUUUUUUAUGCAUAUCUUUUUUUGUUUUUCCUUUUUCUUUUUUAAUAGGCCAUAUACUCAAUGCACAAAACAAAUUAUUAUGAUACAUUAAAUUAUACUUCAUUAAACAAAAUACGAUUUUACACAAAAAGAUCUUUUAAUUAUAAUUAUCCCAAAAACACUCAAAUGCGUUUUCAAAUUGAGUACGAAGUAGAAUACAAAUACUAUGAACAUGAGUGUCAUGUUCUGACUAAGAAAUUAAAAAAUGAUUACUACAAGGGAAAUCGUGAUUAUAGUAAGUUACUUUUUUUUUUUUUUUUUUUUUUUUUUUUAAAAUAUAUACAUUUUAGACAUAUAACACAUGCUCACAUGUACAUGUUAUACGUUAAUCUCUUAUUUUGUGCCUCUAUUUUUAAUUGAUGCGUUUUGCUAGUGUAUAUAUAUAUAUACAUAUACAUAUAUGUGCAAUUUUUUUUUUUUUUUCUUAGAACAAAAAUUAAAUUAUGAAGAAAUUCCAGAAAGUUGCAUAAAACUGAAAAAUUUAGAGGUAAAAUUUUGCAUCUCAAAAUGUUGACCAGUUGUUAAUUUAUUUUAUUUUAUGAUAUUUAUAAAGUGCAGUAUAUUUGUUUAAAUUCUUAUGUGUUUUUGCAUAAUACUUAUAUAUAUAUAUAUAUAUCGAUAUACCUCCAUAUACAUCGAUAUAUAUAUCAAUAUGUGCAAUUUGUUUAAUAUACUUCCAUGUUUAUACAUAUUAAUAUAAAUACCUAUUUUUACACGUCUCAGGAUCAAUACAACGACUACAUUUUGAAAAUGAAAAGGAGAUGACAAAAAAAAAAAAAAAAAAAAAAAUCCAUUAAUUUGAUAAAUUAAUUUUUAAAAAUUAAAAUAAGCUGUUAAAAAAAAUAUACACAUAUAUAUCCAUAUAUAUAUAUGUAUGUACUAUUUUUUUUUUUUUUUUUUUUUUUUGUUGUUGUUUUUUUGGAUUUUAAUGUUUGGGUAUUUUAUUUUGCCCAUAUUAUCAAUCAAAUAUUUGUUAAUAAGUUUUUAAAUGCACAAAAUUUCAUCUAAUUUAACUAUUAUAUGAAUACACGUUUAUGUUUUAGUUGUUACAAAAAUAUACACGUCUCUCAAGCACUUAUUAAUAUAUACAUAUAUAUAUAUAUAUACACAUGCACUUCAUUUUUCAUUCAAAACGUUUAUUUAUGUUUUUAUGUUUCCUUUUUCUUUUUUCGUUUAUUUAUUUGCAAUUAUAACAUCAAUUAUUUUUUAAAUUAGAAAUUAUAUAUGAGUAUGAUUAAAAAAUAGAAAUACAACACUACUACAUAUAUUUAUAUAUAUGUAUGUAUAUGUACAUAUGUAUAAAAAGUCUUUUUUAGGGUUAAAUAUUAGUUCCCUAUUUUUAGUAUUCAAAAUUUAUUCGCCCUCUAUGUGCUCCAUCUUGUUAUUUUAUUUUGCAACUACAUACAAACACAUAUAUAUAUAUAUAUAUAUAUAUGUAUAUUAUGUAGUUUUUUGCCAUUUGUUAUAUACUAAAUAGCAAGUAACACAUUUUUUAAAUUGUUAAUGUUGCAUAGUUUUUUUUUUUUUUUUUUUUUUUUUUACAUUUUAAACCCAUGGUUAUAUAUAUAUAUAUAUAUAUAUCCAUGUGUGAAUAUGUAUGUAUAUAUUGUAAACAAUCAUAUGUGAUCAAAUAAUAUUUGAUGCUAAUUUUUUUUUUCUUAUUUUUAAUAUUAAUAAUAUUAAAAUUAACAUAAUUCGUUAUCAUUAUUUUUUAAGUAGUAAUACUCUAAAUUUGAUUUUUAAAAAAAAUUUAUUAAUUUGAAUUUAUAAGUAUCUGUUAAAAAUUAUACCUGACAUGCAUAUAUAUAUAUAUAUAUAUAUAUAUAUGGCAUAGCAUAGCAUGUAUACAUGUGUCUAUUUUAUUGUGGUGCACUAUCGGAGGUGUGAGAUGAAUACUCAUUAUUACUAUUAAUGUACAUUUUAUCUGUUUCAUAUAAAUCUUUUUUUUUCUUUUUGUAUUAUAUCCUUUAUAUAAGUAUAGCCAAAUUCUUCAGUAUUACUAGAUGAUAAUAAAGCAGUAAAUCUGUUUUUGUUUUUUUUUUUC